This 77-nucleotide transfer RNA is filed under the name Accumulibacter sp. Its description in RNAcentral is "tRNA-Pro". It matches the Rfam family "tRNA". From Rfam's summary of the family: Transfer RNA (tRNA) molecules are approximately 80 nucleotides in length. Their secondary structure includes four short double-helical elements and three loops (D, anti-codon, and T loops). Lineage: Bacteria; Pseudomonadati; Pseudomonadota; Betaproteobacteria. The record is from RNAcentral.
CGGGGCGUAGCGCAGUCUGGUAGCGCAUCUGCUUUGGGAGCAGAGGGUCGUGAGUUCGAAUCUCGCCGCCCCGACCA